Molecule: long non-coding RNA, 332 nt
Filed under: Panax ginseng (ginseng)
Lineage: Eukaryota; Viridiplantae; Streptophyta; Magnoliopsida; Apiales; Araliaceae
Description: long non-coding RNA (PGIN_LNC002264)
Source: RNAcentral
GUGGUUUGGCUUAGAAGAGAACUCUAGGGUUUGAAAAUGGGAGGGAGAGAGAGGUUAAAGGGGUUCUGAUCACUGUUUGCAGAUUUGAAUCUGUCUUUAUGGCAGUUCCUUCUGACUCUGCAUAUACUAUGAUGUGUCACUCAGUCAUUGGUUACACGAUGCCCAGUAACGAGCUGUAACUCCCCAGUAACUUGUCAGUUAGUUGUCUCUUUUAGAAGAGUGGACGUUUGAUUAAUAUGGAUUGACCUUUGACCUCUUGAGUUCGUAGAGUAGCAUGAUAGGACAUCUAUUGAAUCUACAUUUUCCUUUGUUGACUCAACAAUCAAUUCUCU